RNAcentral lists this long non-coding RNA (1030 nucleotides) under Equus caballus (horse). RNAcentral describes it as "lncRNA (ENSECAG00000045052.1)". Lineage: Eukaryota; Metazoa; Chordata; Mammalia; Perissodactyla; Equidae. The record is from RNAcentral.
CUAUUCUUAAGAAAGUCACACCAACCUGUGUAUGUCCACAAAAUAAAUUACACGUAUUGCAGAUAACAUUUGCAAAAUUCUGAGAAAAAUUCCCUGUGUUCAGAAAGUGCCCUUGUUUGCUAUUUCAUAAACAGAGAAAGAACUCCUGGUUAAAGCUCACUUAGAUUCUGGUAGGAAAAUGUGAUGAGUUACCAUUGUGGUCUAUUCCUUAUGUCCCAGAAGAGAGAAAAUCAGAACCUCUUCGUGCCUUUCCAGAAGUCAUCCAGUCAUGUAACAAUGAAAAAUGCCCAAAUCCAUUUCCAAAUACCCCGUGGAGAAGCUAUAAGCAGACGAGGUUGAGAACCGCUUGACUAGGUGGUUUCUGAUGGUUUCUUCCAAUCUUAUGAUUCUUUGAUCUCCCACAUACCAAGAAACCUUUCCUGAUUCUUUCAUUUCAGUAAGACAUGCUCCUCAAAUAGAGACAUCAGGGUUCCCAGACUUCUCAUGUUGAAGAAAUGUCAUUUUAUAGACAUAUUUGGGUUUUGAUAAAUUAAACCAAAGUAAAUUCAAGAGACAAAACAACAGAUGAUAACAUAAAGUUCUAAGUGCAGCCAGUGGAACUGAACGUUUAUUAAUAAAUGUUGACUUAAUGUGAUUGGUAAGAGCAUUUUCAUAAGUUUGACAUUUCUGUCUACUGCUACUAUCUUGAAUCUCUGCUUGACUACUUCUAAUUUCCAAGUUCUAAAGUAAUUUCUAUAAAUAGGCAAAAUUUCAUAAUCUCCAUGACAUAUUUUUAUACAUUUGGUCAGGUGCAUUAUUGUCCAAAGAGUUACUUUUGACGAUACUGCUAUAGGAUAGCCAAACUAAAUUUGUGCACUACUCUGAGUAGAAUACUACAUCCAAAACAAAUUCUGUUUCAAAAAUUCUACAAAAUAUUACAAAAAAUGUUUAUUCCAUGAAGAAGAUAUAUUUUUCUUAGACAAAUUGUAAUCACAUAGAUAUUUAGUGACCUUGAAUUUAUUUUAUUGUAAUCACAUAGAUAUUUAGUGAC